CCUGCAACAGUUGCCCCCCGACUUCUAUCGCCCCCAUGGAGGCAAACAAGUGUGGGACAGGGAAUGGGGGUCUGGGAGAGAAGAUGAAAAGACUGAGGAUCAGAGAGGUGAGCAGUAGUUUUCCCAAGGUCCCAGAGCCAAGAAACGUUGAAGCUUAAAAGCACGCCACGGCAGGGAAGAUCAAGCAAGCCCUGCACCUAUCUGCAGAUUCAACAUCAUCCAUGUCAGGAGCACACUUUUGGACAUGACCCCAUUCCAGCCCCCUAGAGCCAGCAGAAAAGGACCACCCACUUCCUGUGCGGCCAAGUCUGCAGUUCAGUCCUGGAGCCGGGGAAGGCUGUAUACGCUCCCUGAAAGAUGAAAUGACCUCACACCUCUCGCCUCCAAUGCUGGCUCCAU
Pongo pygmaeus (Bornean orangutan) is the source of this 399-nucleotide long non-coding RNA. RefSeq lists it as uncharacterized. The transcript has 3 exons. The record is from RefSeq and is a predicted model, not a curated record. Lineage: Eukaryota; Metazoa; Chordata; Mammalia; Primates; Hominidae.